RNAcentral lists this ribosomal RNA (279 nucleotides) under uncultured bacterium. RNAcentral describes it as "partial 16S ribosomal RNA". It matches the Rfam family "Bacterial small subunit ribosomal RNA", at positions 506 to 784 of the family's 1533-position model. The record is from RNAcentral.
UGCCAGCCGCCGCGGUAAUACGGAGGGUGCAAGCGUUAAUCGGAAUUACUGGGCGUAAAGCGCGCGUAGGCGGCUGUUUAAGUCGGGUGUGAAAGCCCCGGGCUCAACCUGGGAACUGCAUUUAAUACUGCCAGACUUGAGAUCGGAAGAGGAAAGCGGAAUUUCUAGUGUAGAGGUGAAAUUCGUAGAUAUUAGAAGGAACAUCAGAGGCGAAGGCGGCCUUCUGGUCCGAUACUGACGCUGAGGUACGAAAGUGUGGGGAGCAAACAGGAUUAGAUA